UACCGUUGAUGACACAUGAACUGAAGUGU
RNAcentral lists this non-coding RNA (29 nucleotides) under Mus musculus (house mouse). The record is from RNAcentral. Lineage: Eukaryota; Metazoa; Chordata; Mammalia; Rodentia; Muridae.